This 511-nucleotide unclassified non-coding RNA is filed under the name uncultured Glomus. RNAcentral's name for it is "SSU rRNA". It matches the Rfam family "Eukaryotic small subunit ribosomal RNA", at positions 569 to 1085 of the family's 1831-position model. The record is from RNAcentral. Lineage: Eukaryota; Fungi; Glomeromycota; Glomeromycetes; Glomerales; Glomeraceae.
AGCAGCCGCGGUAAUUCCAGCUCCAAUAGCGUAUAUUAAAGUUGUUGCAGUUAAAAGCUCGUAGUUGAAUUUCGGGGUUAGCAGGUCGGUCGUGCCAUCGGUAUGAACUGGUCUCGCUGAUCCCUCCCUCUUGACGAACUGUGAUGCCAUUAAUUUGGUGUCGCAGGGAAUCAGGACUGUUACUUUGAAAAAUUGAGUGUUUAAAGCAGGCUCACGCUUGAAUACAUUAGCAUGGAAUAAUGAAAUAGGACGUUUGAUCCUAUUUUGUUGGCUUCUAGGAUUGACGUAAUGAUUAAUAGGGAUAGUUGGGGGCAUUAGUAUUCAAUUGUCAGAGGUGAAAUUCUUGGAUUUAUUGAGGACUAACUACUGCGAAAGCAUUUGCCAAGGAUGUUUUCAUUAAUCAAAGAACGAAAGUUAGGGGAUCGAAGACGAUCAGAUACCGUCGUAGUCUUAACCAUAAACUAUGCCGACUAGGGAUCGGAUGAUGUUUAAUUUUUAAUGUACUUCUACG